This 460-nucleotide ribosomal RNA is filed under the name uncultured bacterium. Its description in RNAcentral is "partial 16S ribosomal RNA". It matches the Rfam family "Bacterial small subunit ribosomal RNA", at positions 338 to 795 of the family's 1533-position model. The record is from RNAcentral.
CCUACGGGAGGCAGCAGUGAGGAAUAUUGGUCAAUGGGCGGGAGCCUGAACCAGCCAAGUCGCGUGAGGGAAGACGGUCCUAUGGAUUGUAAACCUCUUUAGGCGGGGAGCAAUGCCGGGCACGCGUGCCCGGAGGGAGAGUACCCGCAGAAUAAGCAUCGGCUAACUCCGUGCCAGCAGCCGCGGUAAUACGGAGGAUGCGAGGGUUAUCCGGAUUUAUGGGGUUUAAAGGGUGCGUAGGCGGAUUUUUAAGUCAGCGGUAAAAUGUCCGGGCUCAAACCGGGUCGGCUGUUGAAACUGGGGAUCUUGAGUGGGCGAGAAGUAUGCGGAAUGCGUGGUGUAGCGGUGAAAUGCGUAGAUAUCACGCAGAACUCCGAUUGCGAAGGCAGCAUACCGGCGCCCGACUGACGCUGAGGCACGAAAGCGUGGGGAUCGAACAGGAUUAGAUACCCGGGUAGUC